This 877-nucleotide ribosomal RNA is filed under the name uncultured bacterium. RNAcentral describes it as "bacterial SSU rRNA". It matches the Rfam family "Bacterial small subunit ribosomal RNA", at positions 11 to 865 of the family's 1533-position model. The record is from RNAcentral.
GUUUGAUCAUGGCUCAGAACGAACGCUGGCGGCGUGCCUAACACAUGCAAGUCGAGCGAGAAAGUUCCUUCGGGAAUGAGUAAAGCGGCGCACGGGUGAGUAACACGUAGGUAACCUACCUUCGGGUCUGGGAUAACCCAGGGAAACCUGGGCUAAUACUGGAUAAGACCACGAUUCUUCGGAACAGUGGGAAAAGCCGGCCUCUAUUUAUAAGCUGGCACCGGAAGAUGGGCCUGCGGGGUAUUAGCUAGUUGGUAGGGUAACGGCCUACCAAGGCUACGAUGCCUAGCUGGUCUGAGAGGACGACCAGCCACACUGGCACUGGAACACGGGCCAGACACCUACGGGUGGCAGCAGUGGGGAAUAUUGCGCAAUGGGGGAAACCCUGACGCAGCGACGCCGUGUGCGGGAAGAAGGCCUUCGGGUCGUAAACCGCUGUCAGAAGGGAUGAAAAACCGGUAGGUAAAUAAUCUACCGGCUUGAUGGUACCUUCAGAGGAAGCACCGGCUAACUCCGUGCCAGCAGCCGCGGUAAUACGGAGGGUGCAAGCGUUGUUCGGAAUUACUGGGCGUAAAGGGCGCGUAGGCGGCCGCGUAAGUCUGAUGUGAAAUCCCUGGGCCCAACCCAGGACGUGCAUUGGAAACUGCGUGGCUUGAGUACGGGAGAGGAGAGCGGAAUUCCUGGUGUAGAGGUGAAAUUCGUAGAUACCAGGAGGAACACCGGUGGCGAAGGCGGCUCUCUGGACCGAUACUGACGCUGGGGCGCGAAAGCGUGGGUAGCAAACAGGAUUAGAUACCCUGGUAGUCCACGCCCUAAACGAUGACGACUAGAUGUCGCGGGUAUUGACCCCCGCGGUGCCGUCGCUAACGCAUUAAGU